RNAcentral lists this transfer RNA (72 nucleotides) under Staphylococcus gallinarum. Its description in RNAcentral is "tRNA-Glu". It matches the Rfam family "tRNA". Rfam says of the family: Transfer RNA (tRNA) molecules are approximately 80 nucleotides in length. Their secondary structure includes four short double-helical elements and three loops (D, anti-codon, and T loops). Further hydrogen bonds mediate the characteristic L-shaped molecular structure. tRNAs have two regions of fundamental functional importance: the anti-codon, which is responsible for specific mRNA codon recognition, and the 3' end, to which the tRNAs corresponding amino acid is attached (by aminoacyl-tRNA synthetases). tRNAs cope with the degeneracy of the genetic code in two manners: having more than one tRNA (with a specific anti-codon) for a particular amino acid; and 'wobble' base-pairing, i.e. permitting non-standard base-pairing at the 3rd anti-codon position. The record is from RNAcentral. Lineage: Bacteria; Bacillati; Bacillota; Bacilli; Caryophanales; Staphylococcaceae. RNAcentral also lists the same sequence under 4 other names.
UGGCGUGUAGCUUAAAGGUAGAGCGUUGGGUGUUCUGUUCAAAAUAUGCAGGUUCGAUUCCUGUCACGCCAA